AAGAACUUGUGAAUCUUCAGGCAGAAAAGAUGAAAACACCUGUUCAAAGUUCCAGUUUCCUGUACAUCAAACGAUGCCUGUCUGGGACUCUGUUCCACAUGUCUUCAGUCAGUCCUGGACCCUAUGACUAGGACACUAGUUCUACCAAGGCUUAAUAGAGAUAAUACAGCUGCACAAUUACAACAGGAACUAAUCUUUAGACAGUUAAUACAGAAGAUCUGCUAAAUUGGAGGAUUCCAAAGCUGAGCUGGAAGGGGAAGUCGCCACCUACAGGACAGCAAAUCUAAAAAUUAAUUUGGAUAAACUAUUAAACCAGGUAUUUUCACAAAAAGAACAAUCUGAGACACAGUGUGAGCCUGCACCCUGGACACCCACACACCCCAAUAAUCCCCCUUCAAAGAGCGAGCCACAUGGGAAGGCUACUGUACACAUUUUAUGUUUCAGAUUGUUGUCAUUCACUUGCAAGGGGAGAUUCCAGUGCGUCCAGAGGUCUGGGCAAAAAUAAAAAACAACACAAGGGACUCCAUGUUCGUGAAGGAGUUGGCUGUGGCGUUUUGGGGCACCGACACCUUAGGGGAAAGGAGCCUGACUGGAAAGGAAUGCCCCACCACCAAGACCACCAGGCCGCCUCUAACCCUGCAGAAGCUAUGGGGUUUGAAAGUUUGCUUCAAGCAUGGCUGUACGAGAAAGACGUGGAGGACCAAGAAAUGCUGGCCAGAUUGGCAAAGACCGGAAGAUACAUAACAGAGAAGAUAAUGGAUAUUAACAAGAAAAAGA
Trematomus bernacchii (emerald rockcod) is the source of this 777-nucleotide long non-coding RNA. RefSeq lists it as uncharacterized. The transcript is spliced from 6 exons. The record is from RefSeq and is a predicted model, not a curated record. NCBI's taxonomy places the organism in Eukaryota, Metazoa, Chordata, Actinopteri, Perciformes, Nototheniidae.